UAGCCAGAUUGACCAGCGCAAGGUCGAG
RNAcentral lists this small RNA (28 nucleotides) under Bombyx mori (domestic silkworm). RNAcentral describes it as "ovarian small RNA-22332". Lineage: Eukaryota; Metazoa; Arthropoda; Insecta; Lepidoptera; Bombycidae. The record is from RNAcentral.